Molecule: non-coding RNA, 99 nt
Filed under: unclassified sequences
Description: L4-Archaeoglobi ribosomal protein leader
Rfam family: L4-Archaeoglobi ribosomal protein leades
Source: RNAcentral
CUGAUGGGCGCGUUCGGGUCAAUUGCGGCUUGCAACACCCGAUCUCGCUCGUCGUGCCCUCCGACAUGGAGGUCGACGAGGGGAGCGCGUGACCGUCAG